GCAUAUCUUGCUACAUCUCGAAUUUUGGAUGCGUUUGAUUCGCGCUAUCUUUUUAAGAUUUCUAGUAAUUCAGUAGAAAUAAAAAAAUAUGACGGUGUUUGGCUAAACGCAUUAAGUAAUCUAGUUGGUAAUACUUGAUUUACUUGGGAAUAAGAUGUAUUCCAAAGUACUAAUCUCAUUCCUUUAAGGGAGGGUGGGUAUCCUUGUAUUAAUAGAUUGAAGUAAUUAUAAUAUAUUUAAUCUCUUUUUUUCUUCCCACCUGCUGGCUAGUUAGUAUUAUUUUUCUUUACACUCUAACCUCAUAUCUCUUUCUAAACUUAUCUUUUUCUUUCUAAACUUCAACUCUUUUUCUCUCUCUAAAUUAAACUAUUUCUCCCCCUCUUUUUCUAAAAUCUCAACCCUCUCAUUCUCUCUAACCUCGACCCUAUUUCUCUUCCUAUUUCUUUAAUUAUGCUCUCUCAUUCUAACCUACACCCUCUCUCUCUCUUUUCUAAAAAGAUGUUAAAAUUUUUUAUAGUAUUAUUUAAAAUUAAAUAAAUAAAUUAAUUAAUUAAUUGUAUAUUUUUCGUAAUCUUAAAUAACAUGACUAAAUAAUAUGACCGUACGUACGAACCAAACACCGAAAUAUUACAUUCUUAGUAAUAAGAUGAAUAGGAAUAAGAUUCUUGGAUAUCUUUUUACUCCUAGUAAUCUUUCAUAGUGCGAACCAAACGCGCCCUUCAGGUUAUGAAAACAAUUAGACACAACAGGUAUGAAAAUAUACCACGAUAGUAUCAAUAUUCAUCAUUCAUAUCACCUUUUCUUUUCCUUUC
RNAcentral lists this long non-coding RNA (812 nucleotides) under Ananas comosus (pineapple). RNAcentral describes it as "long non-coding RNA (ACOM_LNC005139)". Lineage: Eukaryota; Viridiplantae; Streptophyta; Magnoliopsida; Poales; Bromeliaceae. The record is from RNAcentral.